Molecule: ribosomal RNA, 418 nt
Filed under: uncultured eukaryote
Lineage: Eukaryota
Description: bacterial SSU rRNA
Rfam family: Eukaryotic small subunit ribosomal RNA
Source: RNAcentral
CAAUAGCGUAUAUUAAAGUUGUUGCGGUUAAAAAAGCUCGUAGUUGGAUUUCUGCGGGGGAGCGAACGGUCCACCUUAUGGGUGAGUAUCUGUCAGGCCCUUGCAUCCUCGUGGGGAACGUCGCUGCGCUUUAUUGCGUGGUACGGAAUCCACGACUUUUACUUUGAGGAAAUUAGAGUGUUCACGGCAGGCAAACGCCCUGAAUAUGUUAGCAUGGAAUAAUAAUAUAGGACUUUGGUUUUAUUUUGUUGGUUUCUAGAACUAAAGUAAUGAUAAAUAGGGACAGUUGGGGGUAUUUGUAUUCAAUUGUCAGAGGUGAAAUUCUUGGAUUUAUGGAAGACGAACUACUGCGAAAGCAUUUACCAAGGAUGUUUUCAUUAAUCAAGAACGAAAGUUAGGGGAUCGAAGAUGAUUAGAU